Molecule: ribosomal RNA, 1314 nt
Filed under: Arthrobacter sp. NIHHS106
Lineage: Bacteria; Bacillati; Actinomycetota; Actinomycetes; Micrococcales; Micrococcaceae
Description: bacterial SSU rRNA
Rfam family: Bacterial small subunit ribosomal RNA
Source: RNAcentral
GAACGGGUGAGUAACACGUGAGUAACCUGCCCCUGACUCUGGGAUAAGCCCGGGAAACUGGGUCUAAUACCGGAUAUGACUACUGGCCGCAUGGUCUGGUGGUGGAAAAGGAUUUUUCCGGCUCGGGAUGGACCCGCGGCCUAUUCAGCUUGUUGGUGAGGUAGUGGCUCAACCAAGGCGACGACGGGUAGCCGGCCUGAGGAGGGGUGACCGGCCACACUGGGACUGAGACACGACCCAGACUCCUACGGGAGGCAGCAGUGGGGAAUAUUGCACAAUGGGCGAAAGCCUGAUGCAGCGACGCCGCGUGAGGGAUGACGGCCUUCGGGUUGUAAACCUCUUUCAGUAGGGAAGAAGCGAAAGUGACGGUACCUGCAGAAGAAGCGCCGGGCUAACUACGUGCCAGCAGCCGCGGUAAUACGUAGGGCGCAAGCGUUAUCCGGAAUUAUUGGGCGUAAAGAGCUCGUAGGCGGUUUGUCGCGUCUGCCGUGAAAGUCCGGGGCUUAACCCCGGAUCUGCGGUGGGUACGGGCAGACUAGAGUGAUGUAGGGGAGACUGGAAUUCCUGGUGUAGCGGUGAAAUGCGCAGAUAUCAGGAGGAACACCGAUGGCGAAGGCAGGUCUCUGGGCAUUAACUGACGCUGAGGAGCGAAAGCAUGGGGAGCGAACAGGAUUAGAUACCCUGGUAGUCCAUGCCGUAAACGUUGGGCACUAGGUGUGGGGAACAUUCCACGUUUUCCGCGCCGUAGCUAACGCAUUAAGUGCCCCGCCUGGGGAGUACGGCCGCAAGGCUAAAACUCAAAGGAAUUGACGGGGGCCCGCACAAGCGGCGGAGCAUGCGGAUUAAUUCGAUGCAACGCGAAGAACCUUACCAAGGCUUGACAUGGACUGGAUCGCCGCAGAGAUGUGGUUUCCCUUCGGGGCUGGGUUCACAGGUGGUGCAUGGUUGUCGUCAGCUCGUGUCGUGAGAUGUUGGGUUAAGUCCCGCAACGAGCGCAACCCUCGUUCCAUGUUGCCAGCGGGUUAUGCCGGGGACUCAUGGGAGACUGCCGGGGUCAACUCGGAGGAAGGUGAGGACGACGUCAAAUCAUCAUGCCCCUUAUGUCUUGGGCUUCACGCAUGCUACAAUGGCCGGUACAAAGGGCUGCGAUAUCUGUCAGGUGGAGCUAAUCCCAAAAAGCCGAUCUCAGUUCGGAUUGGGGUCUUGCAAACCUCGGAACCCAUGAAGUCGGAGUCGCUAGUAAUCGCAGAUCAGCAACGCUGCGGUGAAUACGUUCCCGGGCCUUGUACACACCGCCCGUCAAGUCAUGAAAGU